Molecule: unclassified non-coding RNA, 360 nt
Filed under: soil metagenome
Description: partial contains 5.8S ribosomal RNA, internal transcribed spacer 2, and large subunit ribosomal RNA
Rfam family: 5.8S ribosomal RNA (bases 1-120)
Source: RNAcentral
GAUGAAGAACGUAGUGAAAUGCGAUACGUAAUGUGAAUUGCAGAAUUCAGUGAAUCAUCGAGUCUUUGAACGCACAUUGCGCCCGCCAGUAUUCUGGCGGGCAUGCCUGUUCGAGCGUCAUUUCAACCCUCAAGACCCCUUCGGGGGACUUGGUGUUGGGGACCGGCAUAGGGGCCUUGCGCCCCUCGCCGCCCCCGAAAUGAAUUGGCGGCCUCGUCGCGGCCUCCCCUGCGUAGUAGCACAACCUCGCAACGGGAACGUGACGGCGGCCACUGCCGUAAAACAACCCAAUUUUAUUAGAGUUGACCUCGAAUCAGGUAGGAAUACCCGCUGAACUUAAGCAUAUCAAUAAGCGGAGGA